Molecule: transfer RNA, 67 nt
Filed under: Marmota monax (woodchuck)
Lineage: Eukaryota; Metazoa; Chordata; Mammalia; Rodentia; Sciuridae
Description: tRNA.Ala
Rfam family: tRNA
About the family: Transfer RNA (tRNA) molecules are approximately 80 nucleotides in length.
Source: RNAcentral
GGUUGUGGCUCAGUGGCAGAGCACUUGCCUAGCAUGUAUGAGGCACUGGGUUCGAUCCCUGGCACUG